This 764-nucleotide ribosomal RNA is filed under the name uncultured bacterium. RNAcentral describes it as "bacterial SSU rRNA". It matches the Rfam family "Bacterial small subunit ribosomal RNA", at positions 617 to 1377 of the family's 1533-position model. The record is from RNAcentral.
GGGGUGGCNGGCGAUACGGGCAUAACUAGAGUGCUGUAGGGGAGACUGGAAUUCCUGGUGUAGCGGUGGAAUGCGCAGAUAUCAGGAGGAACACCGAUGGCGAAGGCAGGUCUCUGGGCAGUAACUGACGCUGAGGAGCGAAAGCAUGGGGAGCGAACAGGAUUAGAUACCCUGGUAGUCCAUGCUGUAAACGGUGGGCGUUAGGUGUGGGGACCGGUUUGGUUUCUGUGCCGUAGCUAACGCAUUAAGCGCCCCGCCUGGGGAGUACGGCCGCAAGGCUAAAACUCAAAGGAAUUGACGGGGGCCCGCACAAGCGGCGGAGCAUGUGGAUUAAUUCGAUGCAACGCGAAGAACCUUACCUGGGUUUGACAUGCACCAGACGGUUGUAGAGAUACGUACCUCCCUUUGUGGUUGGUGUGCAGGUGGUGCAUGGUUGUCGUCAGCUCGUGUCGUGAGAUGUUGGGUUAAGUCCCGCAACGAGCGCAACCCUUGUCUUAUGUUGCCAGCACGUUUUGGGUGGGGACUCAUGAGAGACUGCCGGGGUUAACUCGGAGGAAGGUGGGGAUGACGUCAAAUCAUCAUGCCCUUUAUGCCCAGGGCUUCACACAUGCUACAAUGGUUAGUACAACGCGCUGCGAGCCUGUGAGGGUGAGCGAAUCGCUGAAAGCUAAUCUCAGUUCGGAUUGGGGUCUGCAACUCGACCCCAUGAAGUCGGAGUCGCUAGUAAUCGCAGAUCAGCAAUGCUGCGGUGAAUACGUUCCCGG